This 253-nucleotide ribosomal RNA is filed under the name uncultured bacterium. RNAcentral describes it as "partial 16S ribosomal RNA". It matches the Rfam family "Bacterial small subunit ribosomal RNA", at positions 524 to 776 of the family's 1533-position model. The record is from RNAcentral.
UACGUAGGGGGCUAGCGUUGUCCGGAAUCAUUGGGCGUAAAGCGCGUGUAGGCGGUUCGGUAAGUCUGCUGUGAAAGUCGGGGGCUCAACCCUCGAAUGCCGGUGGAUACUGUCGGACUAGAGUGCGGAAGAGGCGAGUGGAAUUCCCGGUGUAGCGGUGAAAUGCGCAGAUAUCGGGAGGAACACCAAUGGCGAAGGCAGCUCGCUGGGACGUUACUGACGCUGAGACGCGAAAGCGUGGGGAGCAAACAGG